Molecule: long non-coding RNA, 495 nt
Organism: Protopterus annectens (West African lungfish)
Lineage: Eukaryota; Metazoa; Chordata; Ceratodontiformes; Protopteridae
Exons: 2
Source: RefSeq, a predicted model, not a curated record
UUUUCACAGGACCAUCAGGACUCAGACACAGCUGUGCUCCUGCUCAUGACAGGCUAUCUUCCAUUAGUCUGAUGUUCGCUAAUUAGACCAGCACCUAAACCUGUCACGGUUCACUGUUUCCAAUCUGCAGCAUCUUUACAGCAGAAGCACGUUUAUCUUGAGUCUCCUUUUAGAUGUUGUUACACUCAUCAUCAGGACUGUGUAAUUUGUAAGUGACACACAGGAAAGAAAUACAGCUGCAUAUUUUUCUAUAGUUAAUGGAGUUAUAAAGCAUAACUAGUGAGGAACCUCCUUGUGAAUAAAAAGAAACAUAUGUUUGCAGUGAGAUGGUUCCCUGAACUAAAUAAUUUACAUAUGUAUUCUGCAUUUGUCUUGGUGCUGCAAAUAACCUACGUAUGUGAUCAACAUCUGUCUUAAUGCCAAGGGUCAGGCCUUAUGACUAAUGCUAUUUGGACAUUUCUUCUGUGACACCCACAGUAAAUGCAAGUUACAAUA